UUUCCGUAGGUGAACCUGCGGAAGGAUCAUUAAUAAAUGGUCUACGUUUUUUAAGUAGACGCUUAAUAAUCCUACCCUUUGUGAAUUUGUUUGUUUGAAAUAAUUUUUUUUAAAAUUAUUGAAUGUCUUUCCCUGUUGAAUUGGUUGUCUUUAAUGGCAAGUGAUUCGCAGGGGAGUGUCAAUAAUUUUUAAAAAGACCUUUUUUAAAAUUAAACUUUUUGUAUUCAUUUGUCUAAAAAUUAUUUUUAUAAUAUAAAAAACAACUUUUGACAAUGGAUCUCUUGGUUCUCGCAACGAUGAAGAACGCAGCAAAAUGCGAUAAGUAGUGUGAAUUGCAGAAUACGUGAAUCAUCGAAUCUUCGAACGCAUAUUGCACUUUUUUAGUUUACUAAAAAAGUAUGUCUGUUUGAGUAUCAGUAAAAUAUUCUCAUAAAAACUUUGUUUUUAUGGUUAUGAGUGUUUUACAACGAUACAAGUUGUUUCACUUUAAAUUUUUUUAAAAUUUGAAUUUUUCUAAUUUUAAAAUAAAAUUGGAUAAAAUUUUCCCGUAAAAAGGAAUAACCUAAACAAUUUUAAUUUUUGAUUAGAAUUCUUCAUUCUAAAGGAAAAUUUAACUAAAUAACUUGAUCUCAAAUCAGAUAAGAGUACCCGCUGAACUUAAGCAUAUCAAUAAGCGGAGGAAAGAAACUAACAAGGAUUCCUUAGUAACGGCGAGUGAAGCGGGAAGAGCUCAAAUUUGAAAUCUUCAAGGUUUUACCUUGACGAAUUGUAGUUUAAAGAAGUGUUUCUGUUGAAGUUUUGGUAAAAGUUCUUUGGAAUAGGACAUCAUAGAGGGUGAGAAUCCCGUAUUUGACCAUUAUUUUCAGCUGUGUGAUACACUUUCAAAGAGUCGGAUUGUUUGGGAAUGCAGUCCAAAAUGGGUGGUAAAUUUCAUCUAAAGCUAAAUAUUGGCGAGAGACCGAUAGCGAACAAGUACCGUGAGGGAAAGAUGAAAAGAACUUUGAAAAGAGAGUUAAACAGUACGUGAAAUUGUCAAAAGGGAAGCGUUUGACACCAGUGUUGUUUUCUCGAAAAUCAAUUAAAAAGAGUUGGAUUUUGUGUUGUAUUGACCUUAACAGCUUGCUUCACUCUUUUCCAGCUUUUUUUAAUGCACUUUUCGUUUAACAAGUCAACAUCAGUUUCUUUUGUUGUAAAAGGGUCAUUGGAAGGUGGCUUUCUCUUCGGAGAAAGUGUUUAUAGCCUUUGAUCUCUGCAAUCGGAGAGACUGAGGUCUGCAGCGUAGAUCCUUCGGGUUAGAUACAUUUGUGCUAAGCUACAGCUUUUCAUAGACAACUUGUUGACUAUGUUUAGUCUUGUGACUUACCCGCUUAUGCUAUUUUACCU
Molecule: unclassified non-coding RNA, 1383 nt
Filed under: uncultured Neocallimastigales
Lineage: Eukaryota; Fungi; Neocallimastigomycota; Neocallimastigomycetes; Neocallimastigales
Description: partial contains small subunit ribosomal RNA, internal transcribed spacer 1, 5.8S ribosomal RNA, internal transcribed spacer 2, and large subunit ribosomal RNA
Rfam family: Eukaryotic large subunit ribosomal RNA (bases 625-1383)
Source: RNAcentral